RNAcentral lists this unclassified non-coding RNA (568 nucleotides) under Hevea brasiliensis (rubber tree). Lineage: Eukaryota; Viridiplantae; Streptophyta; Magnoliopsida; Malpighiales; Euphorbiaceae. The record is from RNAcentral.
AAAUAAGUGUAAUAUAUAAAUAAAUAUACAAGGAAAAAGAAGCUGUGAAUUUCACUUUCUGACUUUGUCAUGUGGACGCCAAAAGCCUUUUUUAGCAACAAGAAACUGUUCUUGCUGCAGAUUUACUGACCAAUGAAGUGAUUGAAGAAUUGAUCUAAGCUUGUUAAGCAUUGGCAUUGUGUCUUGAACUAAAACAUAUCCACCUGGUCUCACUAUUCUAUCCAUCUCCACAACUACUUCCACCACGUCGCAUCUUUGAGUUAAAUUUCCAAAGAGGAAGCUGGAAUGUAGAAGAUCGUAUGUCCGGGGAUAGGUAUUGAAGGACUCGCACCAGUCGUGGUAUAUACCAAUCAGCCCUCUGUCAAAGAUAAUGGAGAGAGUAUCUGGCUCACUGAUGGGAACGACGUUCAUUACCCAGAGGGGUCGAUCAAUGAUUGCCGAGGCAAACCCUCCGUAACCAGCAUUCAUGUCCAUCACGUUCCUCACGCUUGACCAGUUUAUAGAAAGGCCUCCAAGGUAAACAUCCGAGACCAAUGCUGCCCAGUGUUUUGUGUCCUCGUCAAAAAUA